This 642-nucleotide ribosomal RNA is filed under the name uncultured bacterium. RNAcentral describes it as "bacterial SSU rRNA". It matches the Rfam family "Bacterial small subunit ribosomal RNA", at positions 233 to 885 of the family's 1533-position model. The record is from RNAcentral.
GCGGCCUAUCAGCUUGUUGGUGGGGUGAUGGCCUACCAAGGCGACGACGGGUAGCCGGCCUGAGAGGGUGUCCGGCCACACUGGGACUGAGAUACGGCCCAGACUCCUACGGGAGGCAGCAGUGGGGAAUAUUGCACAAUGGGCGCAAGCCUGAUGCAGCGACGCCGCGUGAGGGACGACGGCCUUCGGGUUGUAAACCUCUUUCAGCACAGACGAAGCGCAAGUGACGGUAUGUGCAGAAGAAGCACCGGCCAACUACGUGCCAGCAGCCGCGGUAAUACGUAGGGUGCGAGCGUUGUCCGGAAUUACUGGGCGUAAAGAGCUCGUAGGUGGUUUGUCGCGUUGUUCGUGAAAACUCACAGCUCAACUGUGGGCGUGCGGGCGAUACGGGCAGACUGGAGUACUGCAGGGGAGACUGGAAUUCCUGGUGUAGCGGUGGAAUGCGCAGAUAUCAGGAGGAACACCGGUGGCGAAGGCGGGUCUCUGGGCAGUAACUGACGCUGAGGAGCGAAAGCGUGGGGAGCGAACAGGAUUAGAUACCCUGGUAGUCCACGCCGUAAACGGUGGGUACUAGGUGUGGGUUUCCUUCCUUGGGAUCCGUGCCGUAGCUAACGCAUUAAGUACCCCGCCUGGGGAGUACGG